UGUGACUCUAGAGAACCCUGACUAAUACAG
Molecule: non-coding RNA, 30 nt
Filed under: Mus musculus (house mouse)
Lineage: Eukaryota; Metazoa; Chordata; Mammalia; Rodentia; Muridae
Source: RNAcentral